This 1428-nucleotide ribosomal RNA is filed under the name metagenome. Its description in RNAcentral is "bacterial LSU rRNA". It matches the Rfam family "Bacterial large subunit ribosomal RNA", at positions 1512 to 2925 of the family's 2925-position model. The record is from RNAcentral.
UCAAGCACGCAGGGCGUGGGACAGGCAAAUCCGUCCCGCAUGGGUCCGAGGUGCGAUGAUGGGGGCCUUAUGGCCCGAUAUCCGGUGAUCCCGGCUGCCGAGAAAAGCUUCGGCGUCAGGCUCAAAGCCGCCCGUACCCCAAACCGACACUGGUGGUCAGGUAGAGAAUACCAAAGCGAUCGAGCGAAUCCUGGUCAAGGAACUCGGCAAAUCACUCCCGUUCCUUCGGUUUAAGGGAGACCCCCGAUGGUGAACACACUUGCUGUGGGAGCUUUUGGGGGUGGCACAGACCAGGGGGUAGCGACUGUUUACCAAAAACACAGGUGCAUGCGAAGGCGCAAGCCGCUGUAUAUGCACUGACGCCUGCCCGGUGCCGGAAGGUUAAGAGGAUCCGUCAGCCUUCGGGUGAAGCGGUGAAUUCAAGCCCCGGUAAACGGCGGUGGUAACAAUAACCAUCCUAAGGUAGCGAAAUUCCUUGUCGGGUAAGUUCCGACCUGCACGAAUGGCGUAACGACUUCCCCACUGUCUCGACCAGGAGCUCGGCGAAAUUGCAGUACGAGUAAAGAUGCUCGUUAAGCGCAGAAGGACGAAAAGACCCCGGGACCUUUACUAUACCUUGGUAUUGGCAUUCGGUGUGGAUUGUGUAGCAUAGGCGGGAGGCCGAGAGGCGCGGUCGCCAGAUCGCGCGGAGCCGUAAGGUGAAAUACCGCUCUGUUCGCAUUGGAUGUCUAACCUCGAACAGUCAUCCUGUUCAGGGACAGUGCCUGGCGGGUAGUUUAACUGGGGCGGUUGCCUCCCAAAGAGUAACGGAGGCGCCCAAAGGUCCGCUCAGCCCGGUUGGCAAUCGGGUGGCGAGUGCAAGUGCACAAGCGGGCUUGACUGCGAGGACGACGGUCCGAGCAGGGACGAAAGUCGGGACUAGUGAUCCGGUGCCGGUGUACGGACGCGGCAUCGCUCAACGGAUAAAAGGUACCCCGGGGAUAACAGGCUGAUCAUUCCCAAGAGUCCAUAUCGACGGGAUGGUUUGGCACCUCGAUGUCGGCUCGUCGCAUCCUGGGGCUGGAGCAGGUCCCAAGGGUUCGGCUGUUCGCCGAUUAAAGCGGCACGCGAGCUGGGUUCAGAACGUCGUGAGACAGUUUGGUCUCUAUCCUCUGCGCUCGUUGGAAUGCUGAGGAGGCCUGCCCAUAGUACGAGAGGACCUGGGUGGACGAACCUCUGGUAUGCCGGUUGUCACGCCAGUGGCACGGCCGGUCGGCUACGUUCGGAAGGGAUAACCGCUGAAAGCAUCUAAGCGGGAAGCCUGCUCCAAGAUAAGCAUUCCGUGGAACCUUCGAGUUCCUGUAGUCCCCAUGCAGAACACGUGGUCGAUAGGCCGGACGUGGAAGCCCCGCGAGGGGUGGAGCCGACCGGUACUAACGGACGAAAGCC